GAGUAAUGUCUGGGAAACUGCCUGAUGGAGGGGGAUAACUACUGGAAACGGUAGCUAAUACCGCAUAACGUCGCAAGACCAAAGAGGGGGACCUUCGGGCCUCUUGCCAUCACAUGUGCCCAGAUGGGAUUAGCUAGUAGGUGGGGUAAUGGCUCACCUAUGCGACAAUCCCUAGCUGGUCUGAGAGGAUGACCAGCCACACUGGAACUGAGACACGGUCCAGACUCCUACGGGAGGCAGCAGUGGGGAAUAUUGCACAAUGGGCGCAAGCCUGAUGCACCCAUGCCGCGUGUAUGAAGAAGGCCUUCGGGUUGUAAAGUACUUUCAGCGAGGAGGAAGGCAUUGUGGUUAAUAACCACAGUGAUUGACGUUACUCGCACAAGAAACACCGGCUAACUCCGUGCCAGCAGCCGCGGUAAUACAGAGGGUGCGAGCGUUAAUCUGAAUUACUGGGCGUAUAGCGCACGCACGCGGUCUGUC
RNAcentral lists this ribosomal RNA (480 nucleotides) under Lelliottia amnigena. Its description in RNAcentral is "bacterial SSU rRNA". It matches the Rfam family "Bacterial small subunit ribosomal RNA", at positions 108 to 584 of the family's 1533-position model. Lineage: Bacteria; Pseudomonadati; Pseudomonadota; Gammaproteobacteria; Enterobacterales; Enterobacteriaceae. The record is from RNAcentral.